CGCACCUUGCACCUUUUGGUAUUCCGAAAGGUAUGCCCGGUUGAGUAUUAUGAACAUCUCAAUCCUCUGGCUUCUGAUCGCAAAGGUCGUGGCAUUUGGCGAAGUCGUCUGUCGGGACGACGGUAGCUGAAGUGCGACUUGGAAGCCUGUUGGACUUAGGACUUGAGCGACACGUCGGUCCUCCACGAACUCGACCCGCUUGAAAUGUAUUAGCUGGCGACCCGCCUUACGGUUCCACUCGGCGUAGUAAGUUCUAUUCGUCGAGGACGCCUCUUUGAGGUGGCCGAAAGCGCGUGUUUGGAAGCCGCUUCCAAUCGUCUUUGGACGCUUUGAAUCUUUAAUCUCAACUCGGGUAGGACUACCCGCUGAACUUAA
RNAcentral lists this ribosomal RNA (375 nucleotides) under uncultured Tulasnellaceae. RNAcentral describes it as "eukaryotic LSU rRNA". Lineage: Eukaryota; Fungi; Basidiomycota; Agaricomycetes; Cantharellales; Tulasnellaceae. The record is from RNAcentral.